GGACUACCAGGGUAUCUAAUCCUGUUCGCUCCCCACGCUUUCGCGCCUCAGCGUCAGUAUUAUGCCAGGUGGCUGCCUUCGCCAUUGACGUUCCUUCCGAUAUCUACGCAUUUCACCGCUACACCGGAAAUUCCGCCACCCUCUCAUAUACUCUAGUCAGAUAGUUUGCAAUGCACUUCCCAGGUUAAGCCCGGGGCUUUCACAUCACACACAUCUCACCGCCUACGCGCCCUUUACACCCAGUAAUUCCGAUUAACGCUCGCACCCCCUGUAUUACCGCGGCUGCUGGCAC
RNAcentral lists this ribosomal RNA (292 nucleotides) under uncultured bacterium. Its description in RNAcentral is "partial 16S ribosomal RNA". The record is from RNAcentral.